Molecule: ribosomal RNA, 302 nt
Filed under: uncultured bacterium
Lineage: Bacteria
Description: partial 16S ribosomal RNA
Rfam family: Bacterial small subunit ribosomal RNA
Source: RNAcentral
GCAGUAGCCGCGGUAAGACGGAGGGUGCUAGCGUUGUUCGGAAUCACUGGGCGUAAAGGGCGCGUAGGCGGCCUGUUAAGUCGGAUGUGAAAGCCCGGGGCUCAACCCCGGAACUGCAUCCGAGACUGGCAGGCUUGAGACCGGGAGAGGAGGGUGGAAUAUCCAGUGUAGAGGUGAAAUUCGUAGAUAUUGGAUGGAACACCGGUGGCGAAAGCGGCUCUCUGGCCCGGAUCUGACGCUGAGGCGCGAAAGCGUGGGGAGCAAACAGGAUUAGAUACCCCAGUAGUCCCUGUCUCUUAUAC